Molecule: ribosomal RNA, 558 nt
Filed under: uncultured bacterium
Lineage: Bacteria
Description: bacterial SSU rRNA
Rfam family: Bacterial small subunit ribosomal RNA
Source: RNAcentral
CCAAGGCGACGAUCAGUAGCCGACCUGAGAGGGUGGCCGGCCACAUUGGGACUGAGACACGGCCCAAACUCCUACGGGAGGCAGCAGUGGGGAAUAUUGCGCAAUGGGGGAAACCCUGACGCAGCAACGCCGCGUGAGUGAAGAAGUAUCUCGGUAUGUAAAGCUCUAUCAGCGGGGAAGAAGGAAGACGGUACCCGACUAAGAAGCCCCGGCUAACUACGUGCCAGCAGCCGCGGUAAUACGUAGGGGGCGAGCGUUAUCCGGAUUUACUGGGUGUAAAGGGAGCGUAGACGGCGUCGCAAGUCUGAAGUGAAAGCCCGUGGCUCAACCGCGGAACCGCUUUGGAAACUGCGAGGCUGGAGUGCUGGAGAGGUAAGCGGAAUUCCUGGUGUAGCGGUGAAAUGCGUAGAUAUCAGGAGGAACACCGGUGGCGAAGGCGGCUUACUGGACAGUGACUGACGUUGAGGCUCGAAAGCGUGGGGAGCGAACAGGAUUAGAUACCCUGGUAGUCCACGCGGUAAACGAUGAGUGCUAGGUGUCGGGGGGCAAAGCCCCUCG